RNAcentral lists this ribosomal RNA (328 nucleotides) under uncultured eukaryote. RNAcentral describes it as "partial 18S ribosomal RNA". It matches the Rfam family "Eukaryotic small subunit ribosomal RNA", at positions 1470 to 1796 of the family's 1831-position model. The record is from RNAcentral.
CCCUUAGAUGUUCUGGGCCGCACGCGCGCUACACUGACGAAGUCAGCGAGCAUGUCCUACGCCGACAGGUGCGGGGAAUCUUGUCAAACUUCGUCGUGAUGGGGAUUGAUUUUUGAAAUUCUUGAUCAUAAACGAGGAAUUCCUAGUAAGCGCAAGUCAGCAGCUUGCGUUGAUUACGUCCCUGCCCUUUGUACACACCGCCCGUCGCUACUACCGAUUGGACGUUUAAGCAAGAUUUUUAAACACUGACAGUGUGUAGUUCACGCUAUACUACAGUGAGAAGAAGAAGAUCGAGCUUACUUGUCUAGAGGAAGUAAAAGUCGUAACA